UGCAGUCGAGCGAACGGACGAGAAGCUUGCUUCUCUGAUGUUAGCGGCGGACGGGUGAGUAACACGUGGAUAACCUACCUAUAAGACUGGGAUAACUUCGGGAAACCGGAGCUAAUACCGGAUAAUAUUUUGAACCGCAUGGUUCAAAAGUGAAAGACGGUCUUGCUGUCACUUAUAGAUGGAUCCGCGCUGCAUUAGCUAGUUGGUAAGGUAACGGCUUACCAAGGCAACGAUGCAUAGCCGACCUGAGAGGGUGAUCGGCCACACUGGAACUGAGACACGGUCCAGACUCCUACGGGAGGCAGCAGUAGGGAAUCUUCCGCAAUGGGCGAAAGCCUGACGGAGCAACGCCGCGUGAGUGAUGAAGGUCUUCGGAUCGUAAAACUCUGUUAUUAGGGAAGAACAUAUGUGUAAGUAACUG
RNAcentral lists this ribosomal RNA (421 nucleotides) under Staphylococcus aureus. RNAcentral describes it as "bacterial SSU rRNA". It matches the Rfam family "Bacterial small subunit ribosomal RNA", at positions 56 to 467 of the family's 1533-position model. Lineage: Bacteria; Bacillati; Bacillota; Bacilli; Caryophanales; Staphylococcaceae. The record is from RNAcentral.